UACGUAGGGGGCAAGCGUUGUCCGGAUUUCUUGGGCGUAAAGAGCGUGUAGGCGGUUUGGUAGGUCCGCUGUGAAAACUCGAGGCUCAACCUCGAGACGCCGGUGGAAACCAUCAGACUAGAGUCCGGAAGAGGAGAGUGGAAUUCCUGGUGUAGCGGUGAAAUGCGCAGAUAUCAGGAAGAACACCCGUGGCUAAGGCGGCUCUCUAGUACGGUACUGACGCUGAGACGCGAAAGCGUGGGGAGCGAACAGG
RNAcentral lists this ribosomal RNA (253 nucleotides) under uncultured bacterium. Its description in RNAcentral is "partial 16S ribosomal RNA". It matches the Rfam family "Bacterial small subunit ribosomal RNA", at positions 524 to 776 of the family's 1533-position model. The record is from RNAcentral.